Molecule: ribosomal RNA, 467 nt
Filed under: uncultured bacterium
Lineage: Bacteria
Description: partial 16S ribosomal RNA
Rfam family: Bacterial small subunit ribosomal RNA
Source: RNAcentral
GACGAACGCUGGCGGCGUGCUUAACACAUGCAAGUCGAGCGAGAAACUUCGGUUUCUAGCGGCGGACGGGUGAGUAACACGUGGGCAACCUGCCUCACAAUGGGGGAUAGCCUUCCGAAAGGAAGAUUAAUACCGCAUAACACAAAGGAAACGCAUGUUUCUUUUGCCAAAGAAUUUCGUUGUGAGAUGGGCCCGCGGCGCAUUAGCUUGUUGGUGAGGUAACGGCUCACUAAGGCGACGAUGCGUAGCCGACCUGAGAGGGUGAUCGGCCACAUUGGAUCUGAGACACGGUCCAGACUCCUACGGGAGGCAGCAGUGGGGAAUAUUGCACAAUGGAGGAAACUCUGAUGCAGCAACGCCGCGUGAGUGAUGAAGGUCUUCGGGUUGUAAAGCUCUGUCUUCUGGGACGAUAAUGACGGUACCAGAGGAGGAAGCCACGGCUAACUACGUGCCAGCAGCCGCCGUAA